GUUCUAACUGUGUUUGCGGCUCCUUUUCACCGGGGAAACCCGUUUGAUCAGCGGCGCUCUCUUGCUUCGGUCCGUCAGCCACAGACGUGCCGCUUGCUGCUUUUCCUUUGUGAGAACAAGAUGGUUGAUGGUUUGAGAAAUCGAUACAGAUUGUUUAACCCUUAGGUACCGGUGAGGGUGCUGAUAGUGUGUGCAGGAUAUUGCAGGGUUUGCUCACUGGAGGCUUGGCUGCGCCCCCAGAAGAGAGCACAUCCAACACGGGGCCGGACCACAAGGGGCUGAAGCCACCUUACUGCCCCAAUCCGGAUUCCCUCCUCCCAAACCAACCUGCCCCUCGCUGCUCGACCCGCCCAGCCCACCACCAGUACCAACCCCCCCAUCCCUCCCUCCCUCCUGCAGUCACACACACACACUGUCUCUGCUCUGUCCCGCUGUGUGCCAGUCCCGCUCUGCCUCUCCACUCUCAGCUCUCUCCACUCGUCCUUUCUACAUCCCUCCACCGCUUCUCUUCCUCUUAUCACUGAUAGCAAGCCGGAUCUCGGGCCGCUACUUCCACCACCACCAAACUGCCCCCUGGAGAAUUUACUUUCACCUACUUUUUCUUUUUCAAUUCUGCUGUCCUGCACCUUCCCCUCCGGAGAGGCCGGUUGGUGCGUGUCUGGCGCGUGCGAGAGCUCCGGUGUCGCGCUCUUUGCCCCCCCCCCGAGGGAAUCCCUGGCGGUUGUCUGAGUCGGAGGAGAAGAACUUUUUUCGCCACGAUGAACGUUCAGCUGCUGCUGGUGUUGGCCCUGGUCGGCCCUUUCUGUGCCUUUACACAUGCAAGCCCCACAGAGAUCCCCAAAGACCUUGAUGAGAGCGACGGUGCCGUAGCAGACCUUGGACCUGCCGUUACAGAAGCUUCGGCAAUGGACUUGACUGUUACCCCUGACCCUCCUGCAACCGAACCAGAGACGUCCCCAGAAGAUGUUGCGGCAACGGAAGGAGCCGCGACAACGGAAGCAGCCGCGGCAACAGAAGCAGCCACGGCAACGGAAGCAGCCGCUUCAACGGAAGUUGUCACCGGGACGGCGCUCCCCAGCACUGCAUUGAAUACCGAAGACACUGUGAAAACGGAAGCCCCAGCUGCUUCUACUGCAUCACCAGAACCCAUAGUCACUGUAGUGGACAUAACAGACCCCAGUAACACAGCAGAGGGUGAAGUCCAGCCAACGGAAGCAGUGACAGAAAAAGCGGUGGUUGUUGAAGAACAGUCAGAUGAGGGCAUGAGCUCUGGCCAGGUAGUCGGGGUCGUGAUUGGCGCUCUGUUGGCAGUGGUCAUCGCCAUCGCCGUGGUGAUCGCUGUGGUGAGGAGGAUGGGAAAAUACUCCCCUUGAGGAAGAAGUCGGCCAAGCGGCGGGAGCGUUUAAAGUUCUGGAAAUCCUGAACUACUGAACUGUGACGUCAUUCACGACCAUUAAAACAAGCACCAUACCGUAACUAAACUAAUCUAACCAGCACUCUGGACUUUUGCCAAAUAGGGGGAGGGAGGCUAGUAUGUGUUAAUGUAUGAACUGUAUGUAUGUGAGACGAGGGGUACAUGAGCAGACAUCCUCAUCUUCCCUGUCGCAUCCCUCCCCACUGCUCCCCCGGAGAGAACAAAACAAGGUGACGGCAGGAUGUAGUUUGGAAUUUCAGGCCUUUUUUAAAAGCAUUUUGUUUAGAAAAAAAGAGAGAAAGGAAUGUAGAGGAUUAUCUGACCUUUAGGCAUAAAACGUAUCCCUCAAAGAAUGACCGAUGACACAAAUGGAUAUUACUGAAAAAACAAAAGGAAGUUAAUUACAAAUGGAAGGUGCCAGCAGUAGAAAUUGCUCCAAAUUCCACAGAAUGUAUAUAUACCACGCAAGGGGACUACAUAGCACACAGCUAAUGACUUUCUCAUAUGUUGCAGUUGCAUAGGCGAGCGUUUGUUAUUAUAGAAUACACAGUACAUACAGGCAGGCUGCUGUUGUGGCUACCAGAACUUUUAAAGCAACCCUGAGCACCAGUUAAAAUAUUUUCUCAUGUAGCCAGAAUCCCUGAUAUGUCGGCCAACCGUCUGCAGCACCGUGUGCACGAGUUGUUUUGACACAGCGCGCCCAUGAGCGCUGAGGGCGAGCACGCAGCGAACGGGAAAGAAAAGGCACCCUCGUUUGCAAGAGCAACGUGACAUUCUGCCCACUUUAACACUGACGUAUAAAAACCUAAUACAUAUCUGUGAAAUUCAGCAGAAGGGUUUGUGCCACUGUCUCUGGUAUUCUCUAGGUAGUUUGGAGGACUUUAACUUUUGAAGUGCAUUAUUAAUGUGAAUUGACUGUACCUUUUUAACUGCCACCCAUUCCAGACAGAACAGCUAGUAUGACUUGUUCCAUAUUAAAGCUUACGAAACAGCCCUUGGUUAUUAGACAUAGUGAUAGCAUUGUCUUGAGAAUGUCUUCAUAGUACUUUUGUUAAUAGUUAGAUUACCAGAACAGCAAACCGGUCCUUAAAAUGAGCUAACCCCCCCGAUUGCGUGCACAGGUUGACAUUUUAUAGUUUCACUUAGUUUUAGUACACAGUAUUAGGCAGUAAUGCCCUAUUUUGUUAUUGUUGCAAUUGUAAGUGUGCCGAAUGGGUGUACAAAUAAUGAAGUCUCAGCUUCGCUCUGCUUGCUUUACAAACUCGUUUAACAUGUGCACUCAAUGAGUGAUGUAAUGUUUAAUGAAUAGGUUUUAGACACUGCAAAAGUUUGCAACGACAUGUCUUUGUUUCCUCUCCUCAGCUUUGCCACGUACCAUCAGCUCUAGGUUUAAUUUGUGCCAUUGGAUCUAUUCAAACCCUUUUAUUUAAUUGCAGUGUUUUUGUUCAUACUGUUUCAAUAAUAAACUGAAAACACUCUUAAAAAAAACGUUUUUGUCUUUCGCGCAUGAAGUUUCUCAAUAGCUUUUUCAAAAAUCUGGUUAUCGUCGACGCCAUUUCCAAUCAUUUAGAACACGUAGUGACGGUUUCAACGUCUAAAAGUCAACUCUUUUUUUUGAGCAGUGCUUUAGUUGGUCUUCAGUUUGCCCAAAACACCACAAUCCACACACGUCAUUGAAAGCCG
Long non-coding RNA from Gasterosteus aculeatus aculeatus (three-spined stickleback), 3097 nucleotides. Lineage: Eukaryota; Metazoa; Chordata; Actinopteri; Perciformes; Gasterosteidae. The record is from Ensembl.